Molecule: long non-coding RNA, 3242 nt
Filed under: Homo sapiens (human)
Lineage: Eukaryota; Metazoa; Chordata; Mammalia; Primates; Hominidae
Description: long non-coding RNA NONHSAT161750.1
Source: RNAcentral
AGAUAGUUCCCUUUAGCAGCUCCCAGACUAUAAGAGAGAAAAGACCUAUACAAUCAUGGGAAUAUGAAAGACAAGGUAUUCAGUGCUCCAUGAGGCACAAGAAAGCUCUAUAGGACUUGGGAGAGGAGUAGCUGGCUGGAGGAAUCACAGAAGGCUUCCUGGAGGAAGUGGCUUUGAGCUUCUGCCAUCUCCAUGCAGCUACUCCAAGCUCCAGAGCCAGCCACGGAGCACUCCUGGAACUCUUUGCAGGAUCCAUCUCGAAGUUCUGACUCCCAGCAGAGAAACAACACUGGCCCAGCCCCUAGGAGAAAGCCUAACUGCAGUAAAGGAGUCCUGGAGACAGGACAAGAAUGAAGUCAAUGAAGCAUAGCAGGAGUGGAGAUAAAGGUGCUUUCUUGGGCCUCACUGCCCUGGGGUGACUUAUCCAGUUAAUUUUUUUCCCUCCUCCUCUCUCUUUCUCCCCCUUACUCUGCUGACUCUAAAGGCCCUGGGAAGAUGUGUGAUCAUGUUUAUAUGAGACUGUCUUAGGAGAUUGCCAGAAGGCCUAUUUCUCUAGUUGUACUUGCCUUCUUGUGCUCCUGUAAGAAGACACAGAGAUAGAGGAUUAUGUUGCCCUAUGACUCAGAUGGAGGGGUAAGGGGCAGAGGCAGAGGCAGACAAGGUGAGAGGCAUAGCAAAGACCACACAGCAAGCUGCUACCCACAUCCCUAAGAAGUAUCCGAACCCCCAGAAGUUCUAAUAAACAUUAUUCCCAUUGCUGAUAGUUAAUUUUUCCCAAUCAUUCAUCCAUUUCUCCAUUCCAUAGAAAUUUAUUGAACAUCUAUUAUAGAUGCGACAAAAUAAAAGUCUGGGUGUGGUGGCUCAUGCCUAUAAUCCCAGCACUUUGAGAGGCCCAGAUGGAAGAAUCCCUUGAGCCCAGGAGCUUGAGUCCAGCCUGGGCAAACUAGGCAAGACCCCAUCUCUACAAAAAAAUUAAAAGUUAAGUUUUGUCAAUGGCCAUAGCUUAUUCUCAAAUAUUAAUCUCCCUAAAAACUGUAACACACAAAAAGGGAAAGUCUUGAUACAUUUUUAGGUUUAAUUCCAUUUGUUUCAGGGGAUGGUUUGCAUGUGCCUCGUUCAACUGCUUACAACGCUGUGAAAUUCCAUAAUCAUUGAAUUGAUUUAUUCUCAGAGAACAGAUGUCCACAUAUAUUUGCUGCCAUUAGCAAUGUAUUUAUUCAUUUAUUCAUUCAUUCACUUGGAAAACAUUGUCCAAAUACUUCAUGCUACUGAGUGUAUUCUGGUGGGGAGAGCAGAGUUAGUGAUGGGGAGGUGGACACACAGGUGGCCCCAAAACACAGAAUUAAUGCCCCUUCAUUGUCUAGCACUUGCUAUCUGCAUCUUGUUGGAGUUCCUCUCAAGCCCUAUGAGGUAGUGCUAUGGGCCUUUUUGUACAGAGGGGAAAACGUGGAGACUCAGAGAGUUUAGGUAACUGUACCAGGGCCCCAUAGCUGCAAGCAAGAAGCAGACACACCCUAAUAGAUUCCCACACAAAGCAGGCACGUGAACUCUGCUGAAGGAAGAAGAGGAGGAAUCAACGACCUAUGCUCAUCUGCUGGACGUCUCUCUAAGAGCACGGACCCCUGCCUAUGGACCAGGGGCAACCAUUCAAGGCCUUUACAGAGUUAGGAAUGAAGUUAUCUGAUCCAAGGCAGGAAGAUAAGGAUGUUGUAACCGUUCACUAUGGUGUGCUCCUUUCAAAGGCUUCUUCAUCAUCCCUGGAGGGGGAUUGUACGAACUCUCAGGGUUGGGAGAGGAAGGGGGCAGCUAGAGAGACUGCAGCUUGGUGGGUGAAAUGGAAGCAGGGAUUGCAUGCACCACAGCUCGCUUCUUUGUAACCAAGGCAGAAUGGAAGAGGAAGGCCUUUGGAAUAACUUUCCUAAAUAAGCCAACAGGCCAUUUAGGCGAAGGUGGGGGUCGGGGGACACAAUGUGACUCCAGUGGGUGGCCGUAGCAGAGGUGACAAAGAGGAAACGGCCCCCUGGCCUUGGCCCCAGGCUUCAGGAUGAAUGAGGCCUCUCCCAGCGACCUGAAGGUCACCCCAGGGCAUGUCCCAAGACCUUGUACAGACAAGGCUUCUGAUUACUCAUUAGCCAGCCUGGGGACUGGCCUCCAUGUUGCUGUCCUUGGCCAUAAACAGAUGAAAGCCCCAGCCGCCAGCUCAGGGCAGGCGGGCCUGAUAGUCUAGUAGCUAUCUCAGCCCCUGGAAUUAUCAAAGCCUGGAGCAGCCCAGACAGAGGAGGGAGGCUGGGCUUUCAAACACUUCUGUGCCCUUCACAACUCCUCCUCCCCUCUUACCCCUCACCCAAACAAACAGAAGGAAAAAAAAAUCCCAUCAUACUAGACAGGAUUUUAACAGAUGGCUUCCAGGGCAAAGAUUGCCUGAACCAGCUUCGGCAAGGACAUGCCAAGAUAUGCUGAUGAGAGGGAAGGAAUCCUUCUGAAACCCCUGGAAUGGACUGUUCUAUCCUUGCUUCAAGGCUGAGAAAAAAGGCAUCUUGGAUGCAGAUUCAGGGUGGGGCCAAGACACCCGAAGGCCUCGGUCCUGCUCAAUCUCUGCCUUCUCACCUCCCCCCUUCUUUAGAGGGCCGUGGGUAGGUACCCAUAUGGGCAUGCCUUCUGUUGCUUCUCCAAGCCUCUCCCACUCAGCCCUCUCUGACUGAGAUUUGAAGUCUAGAAAGCAGCAAGUCCUUCCCUCCACCUUGUCUGAGAAAAUCCAGUUAUCCACUCCAAGUCUCUACUCCCCUACCAUGAACCUGGCCCUGGGACCAACCCCACAACCAGGCAGCUCUCUUGACCCUGGGUCUUUGUCCGCUGUCCAUAAAUCAAAGUGGUAGGUUGAUAUUCUGUAGAGAGAAAUGGAAACAGAACCAGAAAGUCCUGCUAUUCAGAGCCUCCAGAGCUCUAUCUUGACCAAUACCUAACAGUAAUAAAACACCAACAUGGCAAAACAGCCACGGCAGCAGCCCAGAUAGAAACAGGAAAUCUUCAUUCAUUCCAUUUUCUCAGCAUUUGGAACACAUUUAGAAUGACUAUAACGUGGUAGUUGUCAAAUGGAUCCAAAGACCUGGUCCCUGAUCUCAAGAAGUUCCUAAACUUGGGGAAGAAUAAUGUAAAUAAACAAUAACAUCAGGAGCUACCAUUUAUUGAGUACCUACGAUGUGCGGUUUCACACAGCAAUGACGCGGCAUGGCACUAUCAUC